GCUGCCGUGGCACAAUCUGGUACUGCGCAACCCUGGAACGGUUGUUUCCUAACGGAUCUCCCGGUUCGAAUCCGGGCGGCAGCG
RNAcentral lists this transfer RNA (84 nucleotides) under Candidatus Woesearchaeota archaeon. RNAcentral describes it as "tRNA-Ser". It matches the Rfam family "tRNA". Rfam says of the family: Transfer RNA (tRNA) molecules are approximately 80 nucleotides in length. The record is from RNAcentral. Lineage: Archaea; Nanobdellati; Candidatus Woesearchaeota.